GGGGGGAACCCUGAUGCAGCCAUGCCGCGUGAAUGAAGAAGGCCUUCGGGUUGUAAAGUUCUUUCGGUGAUGAGGAAGGGUGAUGUUUUAAUAGAGCAUUACAUUGACGUUAGUCACAGAAGAAGCACCGGCUAACUCCGUGCCAGCAGCCGCGGUAAUACGGAGGGUGCGAGCGUUAAUCGGAAUGACUGGGCGUAAAGGGCACGCAGGCGGUGACUUAAGUGAGAUGUGAAAGCCCCGAGCUUAACUUGGGAAUUGCAUUUCAUACUGGGUGGCUAGAGUAUUUUAGGGAGGGGUAGAAUUCCACGUGUAGCGGUGAAAUGCGUAGAGAUGUGGAGGAAUACCGAAGGCGAAGGCAGCCCCUUGGGAAAAUACUGACGCUCAUGUGCGAAAGCGUGGGGAGCAAACAGGAUUAGAUACCCUGGUAGUCCACGCUGUAAACGCUGUCGAUUUGGGGAUUGGGCUUUAUGUUUGGUGCCCGUAGCUAACGUGAUAAAUCGACCGCCUGGGGAGUACGGCCGCAAGGUUAAAACUCAAAUGAAUUGACGGGGGCCCGCACAAGCGGUGGAGCAUGUGGUUUAAUUCGAUGCAACGCGAAGAACCUUACCUACUCUUGACAUCCUAAGAAG
Molecule: ribosomal RNA, 629 nt
Filed under: Glaesserella parasuis HPS9
Lineage: Bacteria; Pseudomonadati; Pseudomonadota; Gammaproteobacteria; Pasteurellales; Pasteurellaceae
Description: bacterial SSU rRNA
Rfam family: Bacterial small subunit ribosomal RNA
Source: RNAcentral